This 373-nucleotide ribosomal RNA is filed under the name uncultured bacterium. RNAcentral's name for it is "bacterial SSU rRNA". It matches the Rfam family "Bacterial small subunit ribosomal RNA", at positions 521 to 896 of the family's 1533-position model. The record is from RNAcentral.
UAAUACGGAGGAUCCAAGCGUUAUCCGGAUUUAUUGGGUUUAAAGGGUGCGUAGGUGGCUUUUUAAGUCAGGGGUGAAAGACGGUAGCUUAACUAUCGCAGUGCCUUUGAUACUGAAGAGCUUGAAUGAACUAGAGGUAGGCGGAAUGUGACAAGUAGCGGUGAAAUGCAUAGAUAUGUCACAGAACACCAAUUGCGAAGGCAGCUUACUAUGGUUUUAUUGACACUGAGGCACGAAAGCGUGGGGAUCAAACAGGAUUAGAUACCCUGGUAGUCCACGCCCUAAACGAUGAACACUCGAUGUUGGCGAUAUACGGUCAGCGUCUAAGCGAAAGCGUUAAGUGUUCCACCUGGGGAGUACGCCCGCAAGGGUG